GAUGAACGCUGGCGGCGUGCCUAAUACAUGCAAGUCGAGCGAACAGAUGAGGAGCUUGCUCCUCUGACGUUAUCGGCGGACGGGUGAGUAACACGUGGUUAACCUACCUUUAAGACUGGGAUAACUUUGGCAGACCGUAGCUAAUACCGGAUAAUAUAUUGAACCGCAUGGUUCAAUAGUGAAAGACGGUUUUGCUGUCACUUAUAGAUGGAUCCGCGCAGCAUUAGUUAGUUGGUAAGGUAACGGCUUACCAAGGCUACGAUUCGUAGCCGACCUGAGAGCGACAACCGCCACACUGGAUCUGAGACUCGGUCCAGACUCCGGCACUGGGCAGCAGUAGGGAAUCUUCCGCGAUGGAGGAAAGCCUGACGGAGCAACGCGGCGUGAGUGAUGAAGGUCUUCGGACGGUAAAGCGCUGUUAUUAGUGGAGAACAAAUGUGUAAGUAACUGUGCACGUCUUGACGGUACCUGGACAGAAAGCCACGGCUAACUACGUG
RNAcentral lists this ribosomal RNA (497 nucleotides) under uncultured bacterium. RNAcentral describes it as "partial 16S ribosomal RNA". It matches the Rfam family "Bacterial small subunit ribosomal RNA", at positions 28 to 507 of the family's 1533-position model. The record is from RNAcentral.